This 497-nucleotide ribosomal RNA is filed under the name uncultured bacterium. RNAcentral describes it as "partial 16S ribosomal RNA". It matches the Rfam family "Bacterial small subunit ribosomal RNA", at positions 28 to 507 of the family's 1533-position model. The record is from RNAcentral.
GAUGAACGCUGGCGGCGUGCCUAAUACAUGCAAGUCGAGCGAACAGACGAGGAGCUUGCUCCUCUGACGUUAGCGGCGGACGGGUGAGUAACACGUGGAUAACCUACCUAUAAGACUUGGAUAACUUCGGGAAACCGGAGCUAAUACCGGAUAAUAUAUUGAACCGCAUGGUUCAAUAGUGAAAGACGGUUUUGCUGUCACUUAUAGAUGGAUCCGCGCCGCAUUAGCUAGUUGGUAAGGUAACGGCUUACCAAGGCAACGAUGCGUAGCCGACCUGAGAGGGUGAUCGGCCACACUGGAACUGAGACACGGUCCAGACUCCUACGGGAGGCAGCAGUAGGGAAUAUUCGGCAAUGGGCGAAAGCCUGACGGAGCAACGCCGCGUGAGUGAAGAAGGUCUUCGGAUCGUAAAACUCUGUUAUUAGGAAAGAAAAAAAGUGGAAGUAACUAUGCACGUUUUGACGGUACCUAAUCAGAAAGCAACGGCUAACUACGUG